This 243-nucleotide ribosomal RNA is filed under the name uncultured bacterium. RNAcentral's name for it is "partial 16S ribosomal RNA". It matches the Rfam family "Bacterial small subunit ribosomal RNA", at positions 532 to 774 of the family's 1533-position model. The record is from RNAcentral.
GAGCAAGCGUUAUCCGGAUUUAUUGGGUGUAAAGGGUGCGUAGACGGGAAUUUAAGUUAGUUGUGAAAUACCUCGGCUCAACUGAGGAACUGCAACUAAAACUGAAUUUCUUGAGUGCUGGAGAGGAAAGUGGAAUUCCUAGUGUAGCGGUGAAAUGCGUAGAUAUUAGGAGGAACACCUGUGGCGAAGGCGACUUUCUGGACAGUAACUGACGUUGAGGCACGAAAGUGUGGGGAGCAAACA